GGAUGUGCUGGUUGGUGCUGGGCUUUACUAGGCUGUGCUGGGCUUUACUGGGCUGUGCUGGGCUGUACUGGGAUGUGCUGGGUGGUGCUUGGCUGUACUGGGCUGUGAUGGGCGGUGCUGGGCUGUACUGGGCGGUGCUGGUCAGUGCUGGGCUGUGCUGAGCAGUGCUGGGCUUUGCAGGACUCAACUGUGAUGUAGUAGGCCAUGCUAGGCUGUAUUGGCCCAUCUUGUACCAGGCCAUACUGGCUGUACUAGGCUGUCCUACACUAUACUGGGCUGUGGUAGGCUGUACUGGGAUAGGGAGGCCUUAACUAGGACAUGUGGGCCAUACUAGUCUGUGCUGGACCAUCUGGUAGCAGGCUCUACUUGGUCAUACUGGGACAUACAGGAUGGUACUGCACCAUACUAGGCUGCACAGCGCUGUUCUUGAGCUGUAUAGGACUGCACUGCACCAUGUGGAGCCAUACCAGUCUGCACAGGGCAGUCUUGGGCCAUAUAGUGAGCUAUACAGGAUUGUAACACGCCAUAUAGGAUUAUACAGGGUUAUACAGGACUGCAUGUCCAUAUGGAGCUGUACAGGAUGUACUAGGCCAGUGUGGGGCUGUACUUGGUUGCUCUGUGCCAUUCUGGAGUGUAGAGGGCCAUGUGGAGCUGUAAAGGUCUGUACUAGGCUGUGCUUAGCCACACAGGACUAUACAACACCACACAGCAGCCACGUCCUCUGUGGGAUCAGAGUGUGGGGAUAUCCCCCUCCUCCCUGUCACCCCGCAGCCCACCAUGGGAUAGAGAAAUAGGGGCUUCACUCUAGCAGUACUUGAAUUUAUUAGUAAACUGUUCUUUGGUAAAUGAUAAAAACUCAAGAGACCAAAGGAAUGAAAACAACA
Molecule: non-coding RNA, 884 nt
Organism: Lonchura striata (white-rumped munia)
Lineage: Eukaryota; Metazoa; Chordata; Aves; Passeriformes; Estrildidae
Source: RefSeq, a predicted model, not a curated record